Molecule: long non-coding RNA, 3341 nt
Filed under: Malus domestica (apple)
Lineage: Eukaryota; Viridiplantae; Streptophyta; Magnoliopsida; Rosales; Rosaceae
Description: long non-coding RNA (MDOM_LNC019795)
Source: RNAcentral
UAAAACAUUAAAACAAAGAUAGAAAACACCUAGAAACGCUCCACAAUCCAAGCUCCUUGAAUGGCAUGCACGGCUCCAAGUUGUCUUCCUUCUUCUCCUUGCAAACUCACGGCACACAAGGUAUGUUUGGGUGAAUGGUGUAGUGAAAAUAUGGUAGAGGAUGGGUUACUAAAUGGUGCAGCAAAGGGUGGUAUUUAUAGGCUGAAAUUCGCAGCCCCUAUGUAGCAAAGGAAAAGGAUUUAAAAGCCUAAUUUGUAUAGGAUAAUAACACACAAUCCUUGAAGGAAAAGGCUAAGGCUUUUAGAAACCAAGGGGGAAAGGAAUAAUCAGGUUUCUAGGAGUCCUAGAAAGGUUUGGGGCGUCACUUUUGUAGGAAAGGAUUAGGGCUUCUAGAAAUCCCAUUUUAAGCAUCCUAAUCUAGUUAGAAACCCUCCUAAGUGGCUGGAAUGUGGAUAAUUUAGGAUUAGGAUAAGAUAAGAUAGGAUAAGGUUUGUUUGGAUAAGAUAAGCUAAGAUAAGGUUAUGGAUGAGGUUUUGGAUAAGAUCCUUCUCUUGAGUUGAUUCUUUGGCUUUAAUUCUUCUUCUUCAUGUAGGAAUACUUGCUUGAGUAGGAAACUUCAUUCGUCUAGGAAUCCAUCGUUUAAGCCCUUUCCUACUUCAACUAGGAAACUUUGUAUAUUCAAUUCUUCAACUUUGAAACACCUUCCUAGCUUCAUCAAUUCCUCAAAUUCGUCCAUCCCUUGUGCUUCAUGUGCAUGAACUCCAUUCUAGCCCAAUUUUGCUCCAAAAUGCUCCAAAUUGCAUCCUUUUGCUCACUUUGUCUCUAAAACCUGAAAACACAUGAAAAUAGCUUAAAAGACUAAUUUAACCAAGAAAACACAACAUAAAUGCAUAAGAACUAACUAACUAAGGCGCAUAAAUAUGCUCCUAUCACCAUACCCUUGUUCUUAGAACGUAGUUAAGCAUGACUCAAGAUGAAUUCCUUUGAUCGUGGUAUUGCAGAAACAUAAGUGUGGGGGAAGGAACUUUUGUGUGCCAAAAGAAAUAGAAGGGCACGGGUUAGAAAAAAAAAAGAAAAAGAAAAUUUCGUGCAAAAUAGAAAAGCGAAAAAAGAAAAGUUGUGAAAAGUAUGAAAAGGAGUUGGAAGAGCAUAAAAAUGAGCUCUAAGUUGUUGGUUGUUGAAGAAAGGGUCCAAAAAGUUGCAUUUGACCCUAAGUAUGCAUGCAUAUUCCCCUUGUGUUUAAAGAUGUUUUCUGCACUCUAAAGUGAAUUCUAAGUGUCAAUUUCAUUGCUUUGCUUACUAUUGUUUAAGAACGUUUGUUUAUCCUUUCCCCUUCUUUGUUAUCCAAUACCCCAAGCCCCGUUACAACCCUUGACUUUAAUCUUGAGUGUUGUGUGUUUCAAUUUGUGGAGUUUAAAAUUGGUAUGAGCAUAUGGUGUCACUGGUUCUCGCAUCUAAGUAGUAGCAUUCCAUUCAUGAGAUCAUAUUGAUAAACAUGUGUAUUAACUCCGAAAAGUGCUUUCUUUGUUAUACAUAUAUGUGAGCGUUCGUUUUCAUAUUUACAUCAAUCUUCUCACAUAUAACUAGUAUAGGGUGUGUAGUCAGAAAAUCUGUGUGAAAAUUGAGUGCAUAUCUAGUAAGGAAUUGAGGAAAUUCUCUAAGGCAUGUUACUACAUUCAAAACAUCGUUUUAAUUGGUUGUUUGUGAACUAAUGAGUAGUGACUAUGAUUAAGUAUGUGCUUAAGUGUAAAGAUGGCUAAAAUCUGUGGGAAUGAUGAUUUUUAACAUGUCAUGUGCAUUGGAAAUCCCUGAGGCGAUUGUUGGAAGGUUUAGGUUGUGUUUACUCGUUUUGCUUCGAUUGUUUACUUUGUUUCGUUUUGUUUUGCUCGAGGACUAGCAAAAGCUAAGUGUGGGGGAAUUUGAUAGGAGCAUAUUUAUGCGCCUUAGUUAGCUUGUUCUUGUGUAUUUACGUUGUUUUUCCUUAGUUAAAGUAGUCUUUUAAGCUAGUUUUAUGUGUUUUCAGGUUUUAUGGGCAAAGUAUGCAAAAUGGUGCAUUUUGGAGCCUUUUGGAGCAAAUUAAAGCUUGGAAUGGACAUCAUAUGCUUAGAGCCAAGAGGAUGGACGAAAUUGAAGAUUUGAAGAUGAUGUUCCUACUUGAACAAGGUUUCCUAGUUGAAGUAGGAAAGUCCCUAAUUGAAGAUGGAAUCCUAGUUGAAUUAGGAUUCCUAGUUGAAAUAGGUUUCCUAGUGAAAUUGGGAUUCCUAGAAGAUAAAGUUCCCUGCUCAAACAAGGUUUCCUACUUGAAGUAGGAAAGUUAAAUCCAAAUGGCAUCAAGUUUCAGCAACAAAGAAGUUUUCCAAGUCCAAGAAGGAAAAGGUUUCCAAGAUGAAGAAGGAGAAUAAUUCCAAGUCAAGGGAGGAUUGAGACAUGUUUUCCUAAUGCGAGAAGGACUCCUAAGUGUUGUAGGACACAAAUGAGAAGUUUCUAGAGAGUUCCCCUCCUUGCCGUGAGUUUCCUACAUUUCCUAUCAGUUUUGGGGCUUUCUAGAAGCCCUAUCCCUAAUCCCUACAUUAAUGCCGCACCCUAGCUUCUAGAUACCCUAGUUUCUUGCCUUGCAAGGCAUUCUAGAAGGCCUAUCCAUAUCCUAUAAUUCCUGCCGCACCCUUAUUCCCUUAUCCCUUAGGAUUUCUGAUUUUUAAGCCUAAUUCCUUGUGGAUUUGGGUUAUUCAAGUCCAUAUCUGAUUCCCCUAGGGUUUUAAGUGCCUAUAUAUACUCAUAUCAACCCCUAGAUCAGAUUACCACCUCUCACAUUCAUAAAUCACGCCAGAAAUCUGCCCUAGCCUUUGCCGCAGCCUUCCACCACCAUUCUCCCAAAUUUCUGCCUAAAAACAACCCAAGCCGCACCACCCAUCAACCCUAAAGCCUUCCCUACCAUUCCCCAUCCAUUCUACACCACAAAUAACCCCAAAAAACCUGUCUAAAGUUCUCUGCCGCAGCAAGGAGGAAGGAGGAUUCUUGGAUGCACUUGCUGCCACGUUGGAGCAUUCUAGGUGUUUUCUUUCCUUUGAUUUUAAUGUCUAAAUUUAUGUAUCUUUGCUUUGCGAGUAUGAGGAACUAAACCCCCCUUGGCUAGGGGGGGAUUCGAAAUACAUGUUUAUGCUUGCGAUAUGAUUUGAUUACUUCUAAUUGCGUUUCAUAAGUUGUGAAUUCAAUUUACUUAUCUAUGUGAAUUACAUUGAUUUGUGUGUGUUGGCUGAGAGUGCACACUUAAUUAUCAUGCAUAAAUUGAAUGCUAGGAUAUAAGGAAAUUUCACCUAAUCGUUAUGGACUUAUAUUCACAA